AAUAUAUAAAAAAAAAAAAAUGUGUGAAUAAUCUAUUGCCUAAAGAUAUAAUUUCUAAUGAAUUUUAGAACGAAAAUGUUGUUUUUCUUUUAAUGAAGCCCCAUAAGUAUUGUGUUAAUUACUUGAGCACAAAAGAAGGUUUGAUGAUAUUCUGGAUAAUGAGUGAACAUCAAUGUGGUAAAGGAAUUUGGGAGAGUUCAUUUAUUUGGUAAUUUAGAGGAUAGAUGAACAACUAUUAACUUGCAUGUGAAUUUUAUAAAUCUUAAUAUAACGCUUUAAUUGCUAGAGGGCUAGCAAUAAGCUGGUUGGGGGGUGUGAUUAGUAUUAAAAAUUGUUUAAUUAUCAAGCGAUAAUAUGUUAUUUUAUGCUUAUGUUAUAAUUUAUAUUUGUGUUUAUGUAAUAUACUAUGAAUUAUUAAUUAUGUUUUAAAUAUAUUUAAUUUUGUGUAUUUUUAUGUGUUUAUUAGGAAAAUUAUUAAUUUCACGUACUUCGAGGCUCCAAACAGAUAAACGGAGGUCAAAUUUGGAUUCCGGAGGUCCGAAAACCUUAAGAUCAGUCAAGAUCGGCUUAAAAUUGGGCUUGUGUAAAAAAAAGUUGACUUUUCCUGUUGACCGAGCACUGAUUGGAUGAUGAAAUGAGCUUACAAUAGAUAUGAGUGCAUGGGAUAACUGGCAAUCUUGACCAAAUCUCAACCGUUCAUGAUUCAAUGGCCAUGAUUGUGCCACGUGGCAAUGGUUGGUGAAGCAAGUUGG
RNAcentral lists this long non-coding RNA (752 nucleotides) under Citrus sinensis (sweet orange). RNAcentral describes it as "long non-coding RNA (CSIN_LNC005652)". Lineage: Eukaryota; Viridiplantae; Streptophyta; Magnoliopsida; Sapindales; Rutaceae. The record is from RNAcentral.